This 210-nucleotide long non-coding RNA is filed under the name Brassica napus (rape). RNAcentral's name for it is "long non-coding RNA (BNAP_LNC018939)". Lineage: Eukaryota; Viridiplantae; Streptophyta; Magnoliopsida; Brassicales; Brassicaceae. The record is from RNAcentral.
CUUUAGACUAGACUACUAUCUAACACAUUAAUCUCACUUAACAUCCAUUUAUAUCUAACAUAGGCAUUUUCAAUUUCUAGCUAAAGCUAACAUCCAUUAAUAUCUAACAGAGGCAUUUAUAUCAAACAUCCAUUUAUAUCUAACACGGUUUCGACUAGACUACUAUCUAACACAAUAAUCUCACUUAACCAUAUUUAUUACCAACCGCGA